CUACGGGGUGCUGCAGUGAGGAAUAUUGCGCAAUGGGGGAAACCCUGACGCAGCGACGCCGCGUGGAUGAUGAAGGCCUUCGGGUUGUAAAAUCCUGUCAGAUGGGAAGAAUUGUUCCAUGUCUAAUAUAUGUGGGACUUGACGGUACCGUCAAAGGAAGCACCGGCUAACUCCGUGCCAGCAGCCGCGGUAAUACGGAGGGUGCAAGCGUUGUUCGGAAUUACUGGGCGUAAAGCGCGCGUAGGCGGUUUGUUAAGUCAGAUGUGAAAGCCCAUGGCUCAACCAUGGACGUGCAUUUGAUACUGGCAGACUUGAGUACUGGAGGGGGUGGUGGAAUUCCCGGUGUAGAGGUGAAAUUCGUAGAUAUCGGGAGGAAUACCGGUGGCGAAGGCGACCACCUGGCCAGAUACUGACGCUGAGGUGCGAAAGCGUGGGGAGCAAACAGGAUUAGAUACCCCAGUAGUC
This 465-nucleotide ribosomal RNA is filed under the name uncultured bacterium. RNAcentral describes it as "partial 16S ribosomal RNA". It matches the Rfam family "Bacterial small subunit ribosomal RNA", at positions 339 to 795 of the family's 1533-position model. The record is from RNAcentral.